GACGAACGCUGGCGGCGUGCUUAACACAUGCAAGUCGAACGGAAAGGCCCUGCUUGCAGGGUACUCGAGUGGCGAACGGGUGAGUAACACGUGGGUGAUCUGCCCUGCACUUCGGGAUAAGCCUGGGAAACUGGGUCUAAUACCGGAUAGGAGCCAUUUUUAGUGUGAUGGUUGGAAAGUUUUUUCGGUGUAGGAUGAGCUCGCGGCCUAUCAGCUUGUUGGUGGGUAAUGGCCUACCAAGGCGGCGACGGGUAGCCGGCCUGAGAGGGUGGACGGCCACAUUGGGACUGAGAUACGGCCCAGACUCCUACGGGAGGCAGCAGUGGGGAAUAUUGCACAAUGGGCGCAAGCCUGAUGCAGCGACGCCGCGUGGGGGAUGACGGCCUUCGGGUUGUAAACUCCUUUCGCUAGGGACGAAGCUUUUGUGACGGUACCUAGAGAAGAAGCACCGGCUAACUACGUG
Molecule: ribosomal RNA, 463 nt
Filed under: uncultured bacterium
Lineage: Bacteria
Description: partial 16S ribosomal RNA
Rfam family: Bacterial small subunit ribosomal RNA
Source: RNAcentral